This 253-nucleotide ribosomal RNA is filed under the name uncultured bacterium. RNAcentral describes it as "partial 16S ribosomal RNA". It matches the Rfam family "Bacterial small subunit ribosomal RNA", at positions 524 to 776 of the family's 1533-position model. The record is from RNAcentral.
UACGUAGGCAGCGAGCGUUGUUCGGAGUUACUGGGCGUAAAGGGUGUGUAGGCGGCUUAUUAAGUUUGGUGUGAAAUCUCCCGGCUCAACCGGGAGGGUGCGCCGAAAACUGGGAGGCUAGAGUGCGGGAUGGGAGAGUGGAAUUCCUGGUGUAGCGGUGAAAUGCGUAGAUAUCAGGAGGAACACCGGUGGUGCAGACGGCUCUCUGGACCGUAACUGACGCUGAGACACGAAAGCGUGGGUAGCAAACAGG